UACGUAGGGUGCAAGCGUUGUCCGGAAUUAUUGGGCGUAAAGAGCUCGUAGGCGGCUCGAUAAGUCUGCUGUGAAAGUUCAGGGCUCAACCCUGAAAUGCCGGUGGAAACUGUCGGGCUAGAGUCCGGAAGAGGCGAGUGGAAUUCCUGGUGUAGCGGUGAAAUGCGCAGAUAUCAGGAGGAACACCAAUGGCGAAGGCAGCUCGCUGGGACGGUACUGACGCUGAGACGCGAAAGCGUGGGGAGCAAACAGG
RNAcentral lists this ribosomal RNA (253 nucleotides) under uncultured bacterium. RNAcentral's name for it is "partial 16S ribosomal RNA". It matches the Rfam family "Bacterial small subunit ribosomal RNA", at positions 524 to 776 of the family's 1533-position model. The record is from RNAcentral.